AUGACACACAAAUUCAAGAGCUAUUGUACAGCAUGGCAAUGUAGUUAAUAAUACUGUAUUGUAUUCUUGAAAAUUGCUAAGACAGUAGAUUUUAAAUGUUCUCAC
Molecule: long non-coding RNA, 105 nt
Organism: Sapajus apella (tufted capuchin)
Lineage: Eukaryota; Metazoa; Chordata; Mammalia; Primates; Cebidae
Exons: 3
Source: RefSeq, a predicted model, not a curated record